RNAcentral lists this ribosomal RNA (504 nucleotides) under uncultured Glomus. RNAcentral describes it as "SSU rRNA". It matches the Rfam family "Eukaryotic small subunit ribosomal RNA", at positions 569 to 1074 of the family's 1831-position model. The record is from RNAcentral. Lineage: Eukaryota; Fungi; Glomeromycota; Glomeromycetes; Glomerales; Glomeraceae.
AGCAGCCGCGGUAAUUCCAGCUCCAAUAGCGUAUAUUAAAGUUGUUGCAGUUAAAAAGCUCGUAGUUGAAUUUCGGAAUCAAUGGAUCGGUCAUGCCACUCGGUGUGUACUGGUUUGAUUGGUUCUCACCUUCUAAGGAACCGUGAUGUCAUUAAUUUGGUGUCGCGGGGAAUUAGGACUGUUACCUUGAAAAAAUUAGAGUGUUUAAAGCAAGCUCACGCUUGAAUACAUUAGCAUGGAAUAAUGAAAUAGGACAUUGUAUUCUAUUUUGUUGGUUUCUAGGAUCGAUGUAAUGAUUAAUAGGGAUAGUUGGGGGCAUUAGUAUUCAAUUGUCAGAGGUGAAAUUCUUGGAUUUAUUGAAGACUAACUACUGCGAAAGCAUUUGCCAAGGAUGUUUUCAUUAAUCAAGAACGAAAGUUAGGGGAUCGAAGACGAUCAGAUACCGUCGUGGUCUUAACCAUAAACUAUGCCGACUAGGGAUCGGAUGAUGUUAAUUUUUAAUGA